CUGCACUACUCUGAUCCUAUUGGAGAUCCACUUACCCUCUAUGAGCAUGAUUCCUUCGAGUGGAUCAACGAGUGUCCAUACACUGUUAACCUUCAUGGACUUCAUUUUGGACCUAUAGCUCUAAGUCAUUAAUCAGAGUCGAACCUCUACACGGCAUCCAUGUAGGUGAUCAAAUCUUCAUUGUUCUCAUCGAGUUCAAUAGGAUCAUCCCGGAACUAGAUACCGAAGUAUCUAUCUGACGGACGUGGUACUCUAUCGGAUCUCCUUAAUGGUGCCUCUACAACGGAUUUCGAAUUUGAUCUGAUCAAAUUCGGUUCUAUGGAUUCACUAGAUUGUGUCGGUUCUUCUACCUGUCAAAGUUCUAUAUUAAAGACAUCAGUACCUUCACCAAGAUACUUUUUUUCUGAAAGAAAUGCCGCACAACUCUUAUUCUUUAGCAUGGUAGAAGUUAUAUCCCAUAGAUUCUUUAGG
Molecule: long non-coding RNA, 471 nt
Filed under: Elaeis guineensis (African oil palm)
Lineage: Eukaryota; Viridiplantae; Streptophyta; Magnoliopsida; Arecales; Arecaceae
Description: long non-coding RNA (EGUI_LNC028157)
Source: RNAcentral